GACGUGGAUCGUGAUGAUGGACGCUACCCACCCAGGCCCCGGCCCAGGCCACCUGCAGGAGGAGGUGGCGGAGGUGGCGGAGGCUAUCCCAAUUAUGACAGCUCCGGCAGCACGUAUGGAAGAGGGGGCGGCUCUCGACCCAACCCUCCUUACAGACAAACUUAUGGUGGAGACGAACAUUCAACUUACGGCAACCCACAAGGGAACACGGUAGCAAAAAUCGUAUCCCCUAUCGUGUCUGUGGUGGUGGUGACCUUGGUGGGGGCGGCGGCCACCUAUUUAAACAAGAGGAGAAAUUGCUUCCGGAACAGUGAGCCAGUGAAUGUCUGAAGAAUUCCAAGUUCUUUGAUCACUUCGAGAAAAACUGAAUCAAGACAAGAACCCUGUGUAUUCUUGGUAUCAUCUGCUGACCUAAAGCGUGUUCUGUUGUGUGUUUACUAUGGCCGCGGCCUCCCAAGGAAUCCCCAGUUUGUUGCAGGUGGUGUGGUGAAAAGAUUGCUGAAUCUAUUGUUUCUGUGACACCUGUGCAUCAAGAAGGUCCAGCCCUCUGUUCUGAGAUCUUCAACUACCUCAUGGUGCCAAAACACACUCAGGUGUAUUGCAAAGCAUGAUGGCAACAGGUGGGAGAAGGAUGUUGUCGGAUUCUGGGAGAUGACGACUUUUGAGAUUUUGGGAAGAUGUCGUCAGAGGCUUGCCCUGCACUACAUUUCUAAGAGAUGUCAGAAAUCAUUCAGCAUGGAAGUCAAAAGCUAUCGAGUGUUCAACAUUGUGAAUGAAGUGAGAAUGAAUUAUACCCAAUGCUCAGAACAGGGUAUGAUUGUCUAUUCAACUUUGGUGUCUCUGCACAAAAAAAUUAUUACCCACAGAAAAGCAGCCCAGAUUUUAAAAUUUUUAGCAUGAAAUUAUGAAUAUUAAAAUCAUCCAGGGGAAAUCAGUCUCGGGCUACUUUCUCCUAGGAAAUUAUAUUUUUAAUAUGUUUUAGAGAAUAGGACACAGAAAUGGUGAGUUUUCAGAUGUUGACCCUGUCACAGUAAUUUUACUCUUUGAUAUUCUUUAGGUACCGGUUCCUACAGCAACAGCUUUCCUUUACUGAAUUUAUGCUUUUUCUACUCUCCAAAGUAGAAAAUCUUAAAUCCUUAGACAUCUAAAAAGUAUAUUAGCUACUUGCUUCUGUUUUAGAAAUACUUCUAGGGAGGGAAAGGGAUGCUUUGGUCAUAUUGGUAUAACUUGAUUAAACUAAGGUUAAUGUUCAUAUAACUUUUAGACUUUGGCUUAAAUAUCUGAACCAAAGACGAAGAUAUUCAUUGCAAUCUGGAUCUUCUAUAAAGAACCCAUAAAAAUCCUAAAUAUGCAUGGUUUGUGCUCACAUUUAUAAACUGGAGUCUCCAAACAGAGAAAUUGAAAUUAGAAAACAUUUGAAAGAGCAACACAUUUGAAAAAAAAA
Long non-coding RNA from Otolemur garnettii (small-eared galago), 1444 nucleotides. RefSeq lists it as uncharacterized. The record is from RefSeq and is a predicted model, not a curated record. NCBI's taxonomy places the organism in Eukaryota, Metazoa, Chordata, Mammalia, Primates, Galagidae. The transcript is spliced from 6 exons.